CCUACGGGGGGCAGCAGUCGAGAAUCAUUCACAAUGGGGGAAACCCUGAUGGUGCGACGCCGCGUGGGGGAAUGAAGGUCUUCGGAUUGUAAACUCCUGUCAUGUGGGAGCAAAUUAAAAAGAUAGUACCACAAGAGGAAGAGACGGCUAACUCUGUGCCAGCAGCCGCGGUAAUACAGAGGUCUCAAGCGUUGUUCGGAAUCACUGGGCGUAAAGCGUGCGUAGGCUGUUUCGUAAGUCGUGUGUGAAAGGCGCGGGCUCAACCCGCGGACGGCACAUGAUACUGCGAGACUAGAGUAAGGGAGGGGGAACCGGAAUUCUCGGUGUAGCAGUGAAAUGCGUAGAUAUCGAGAGGAACACUCGUGGCGAAGGCGGGUUCCUGGACAUUAACUGACGCUGAGGCACGAAGGCCAGGGGAGCGAAAGGGAUUAGAUACCCCGGUAGUC
RNAcentral lists this ribosomal RNA (446 nucleotides) under uncultured bacterium. Its description in RNAcentral is "partial 16S ribosomal RNA". It matches the Rfam family "Bacterial small subunit ribosomal RNA", at positions 338 to 795 of the family's 1533-position model. The record is from RNAcentral.